CUUUCUUUGCUGGCGACCGGCGCACGGGUGAGUAACACUAUCCAACCUGCCCUUUACUCGGGGAUAGCCUUUCGAAAGAAAGAUUAAUACCCGAUAGUAUAAUGAUUCCGCAUGGUUUCAUUAUUAAAGGAUUCCGGUAAAGGAUGGGGAUGCGUUCCAUUAGGUUGUUGGUGAGGUAACGGCUCACCAAGCCUUCGAUGGAUAGGGGUUCUGAGAGGAAGGUCCCCCACAUUGGAACUGAGACACGGUCCAA
This 253-nucleotide ribosomal RNA is filed under the name uncultured bacterium. RNAcentral describes it as "partial 16S ribosomal RNA". It matches the Rfam family "Bacterial small subunit ribosomal RNA", at positions 79 to 334 of the family's 1533-position model. The record is from RNAcentral.